RNAcentral lists this ribosomal RNA (253 nucleotides) under uncultured bacterium. Its description in RNAcentral is "partial 16S ribosomal RNA". It matches the Rfam family "Bacterial small subunit ribosomal RNA", at positions 524 to 776 of the family's 1533-position model. The record is from RNAcentral.
UACGUAGGGGGCUAGCGUUGUCCGGAAUCAUUGGGCGUAAAGCGCGCGUAGGCGGCCAGAUAAGUCCGGUGUGAAAGUCACAGGCUCAACCUGUGAAUGCCGCUGGAAACUGUCUGGCUAGAGUCCGGUAGGGGAGUGCGGAAUUCCCGGUGUAGCGGUGAAAUGCGCAGAUAUCGGGAGGAACACCAGUGGCGAAGGCGGCACUCUGGGCCGGAACUGACGCUGAGGAGCGAAAGCGUGGGGAGCGAACAGG